UUCACAUUCCUGGAGACAGAAUUCUAUGUAUCCACAAAUCAGAUACAGGCUUCAAACAGUCUAAGUUUCUCCACAUGGGUUUGCCAAUGUGUCUCAACUUUGACCUGGACAGACCACCUCCAAGGGUGAAAGGGCAGUUCAGUCUCUCUGGCCCACACAAUCCUUGACCUCU
This 172-nucleotide small RNA is filed under the name Chrysemys picta bellii (western painted turtle). RNAcentral describes it as "TUC338 (ENSCPBG00000026963.1)". Lineage: Eukaryota; Metazoa; Chordata; Testudines; Emydidae. The record is from RNAcentral.